RNAcentral lists this unclassified non-coding RNA (294 nucleotides) under Glomeromycotina sp. RNAcentral describes it as "partial contains small subunit ribosomal RNA, internal transcribed spacer 1, and 5.8S ribosomal RNA". The stretch from base 1 to 47 matches the Rfam family "Eukaryotic small subunit ribosomal RNA", at positions 1785 to 1831 of the family's 1831-position model. Lineage: Eukaryota; Fungi; Glomeromycota. The record is from RNAcentral.
AAAGUCGUAACAAGGUUUCCGUAGGUGAACCUGCGGAAGGAUCAUUAAAAGGUAUCUGCCUUCUUGGCCAUAAAAAGCCAGAGAGGUAGUUCCCAGAUCAACCACAGUGCGCACAUAUUGAAUUAUUUUUUUGCUUUUGGUAGGCGUCGUUUCAAAAAAUUUAUUUUAUUUUAAUUCUUUGAACGAUUCUACCAUAAGUAAUGCCCAAUAUCAAUUUAAGCCUCAUUUUGUGACUGAAAAUUUUUUAAAUAAAAAAAUUUAAUACAACUUUCAACAACGGAUCUCUUGGCUCUC